RNAcentral lists this ribosomal RNA (252 nucleotides) under uncultured bacterium. RNAcentral's name for it is "partial 16S ribosomal RNA". It matches the Rfam family "Bacterial small subunit ribosomal RNA", at positions 524 to 776 of the family's 1533-position model. The record is from RNAcentral.
UACGGGGGUGUAAGCGUUGUUCGGAAUUACUGGGCGUAAAGGGCUCGUAGGCGGCCAACUAAGUCAUACGUGAAAUCCCUCAGCUUAACUGGGGAACUGCGUGUGAUACUGGAUGGCUUGGAUUUGGGAGAGGGAUGCGGAAUUCCAGGUGUAGCGGUGAAAUGCGUAGAUAUCUGGAGGAACACCGGUGGCGAAGGCGGCAUCCUGGACCAAUAUUGACGCUGAGGAGCGAAAGCCAGGGGAGCAAACGGG